Nothobranchius furzeri (turquoise killifish) is the source of this 1089-nucleotide non-coding RNA. The record is from RefSeq and is a predicted model, not a curated record. NCBI's taxonomy places the organism in Eukaryota, Metazoa, Chordata, Actinopteri, Cyprinodontiformes, Nothobranchiidae.
CACACACACACACACACACACACACACACACACACACACACACACACACACACACACACACACACACACACACACACACACACACACACACACACACACGCACACACACACACGCACACACACUGGGGAUGUAUUGCAGCUGUUUGAAGCUGAUAACCUCACAUUCAUUCCCGCAGCUUUCCUGUAUUUUCGGUUCUUUUCUUCCGCUGCACACAUAAAUCAAUAAGAAAGCUGCUCCGCCGUUUAAAGUGUGCCCUCGUCUUCUCCGAGCAUACGAACACAUGAUUUAAGCAUAGGCCUAUCAAAGCUGGAAAUCAGAACUAUCUGUUCCUGCCAACAAGCAAGCAGGCAGGUCACCUCAACCCAGCUGGUAGAUGGGUGGGAGGGAGAUGAAAAACAAACUGUUUAUGGACCACCAUCCUCGCUGCAUGACCGUACCAUCAGGAUCAUGCUCAUGUUUGGAGAAAAAGGCAAUAAAAGGAAGCGGGUUUAUUGUAUGCUGGUUUAAACACUCACAUGGCGCUGGAAGUUCGAGAAGUGGAUGUCAGGGAUGAAGAGGACCGGCUGGGUCUCAAGGUCGGACAUCGUUUUGAAGAUGGUCACAUCGUUUCGCUUCUGGAGGAGGGGGACUUUCACGUCUGGAACUGCAAGAAAAACUCUUUAGCAAUAAUUUAUCAACAGUUCCAGCUGGGUUUUAUUAUGGAAACUUUUAUUAUUCACAUUGCUUUUUAUAAAAAGAAAUGACUGAUUUAUUUUAUUUUAUUUACUUUAUGGCACUGACAGCACUCAGGUAGGUGGAGGUAGUUUGAAAUGUGAUAAAUAUGCUGCUGAGUCCCUCUGUUGGCUGAUCUGGAGCCGUUAAGUCUCCAUUCACUGGACCUUGUUUGAAAAUUACAAACUAACCUUAAAAAAACCUACCUGAAACUAUUGAGCAAAACAACUUUUUUUAAAUUAUAUUUGAUUCUAUUUUAUUCUAUUUUUAAUCUUAUUAUUCAUGUUAUAUGUAGCACAUUAGUACCGAAGCAAGUUCCUAGUUUGUGAAUUGUUUGUUCACUGACAAUGGUAAUAAACCUAUUCUGAUUCUGAACU